RNAcentral lists this long non-coding RNA (1226 nucleotides) under Marmota monax (woodchuck). Lineage: Eukaryota; Metazoa; Chordata; Mammalia; Rodentia; Sciuridae. The record is from RNAcentral.
UGUCCUAAAACUAAAAGAAGGGGGUUGUGGCUCAGCGGUAGAAUGCUUGCCUCGCACGCACGAGACCCUGGGUUCGAUCCUCAGCACCACAUAAAAAUAAGUGAAAUAAAGGCAUUGUGUCCAACUAUAAGUAAAAAAUGAAAAAUAUUUUUUAAAAAUUAGGAAAAAAAGUGCUAAGGAUGUAGCUCAGUUGUAGAAAUACUUGCUUAUAGCACAAGGCCCUAGAUUCAGUUCCUAGUGCCACACACACACACACAAAUCUGUAGUGGAAAUAUAAAAUGGGAGUGAAGUCUUAAAUGUGUCUUUUGGGGCUGUCACAGUACUUGUAUCUCUGGUAUUUCUUUUUGGCCCUCCUGAUUGAAGAUAGUCCCAGAUCUUCAGCUAGGCAUCACUGGGUUAUGCUAUGGAUGAUUAGAUUCCCCUGCCCCACCCCCAAGUACUAGAGCUUGAAGCCAGGGUUGUUUUGUGUUGCUUGCAGUACUGGAAAUUCAACUUGGGGCUUCACUCAUGCUAGGCAAGUACUGGACCACUGAGCUACACCCCAGCUCCAUAUAUAUAAGUAAUAUAGAUAGUUUUGUUUUUUCCUUUUUUACUGGGGAUUAAACCUAGAGCCUUGCACAUGCUAGACAGGUGUUCUUUCACUGGGCUACAUACACAGACCUCCAGUGGCACUUCUGAGCUACAUCCUCAGCCCUUUAUUUUUUAUUUUGAGACAGGGUCUUGUUAAGUUUCCCAGGCUGUCCUUGAAUUUACGAUUCUGCCUCAUUCACCUGAGACACUGGAUCACAGAUGUGCACCACCUGUGAUUUAUAAAGAUGUGUGAGGAUUCAUGAUUGCCAGCUGAGUGGCUUUAGAAGUGACCAGGCAUGGGCCUGUGAUCUCAGCAACUCUGAUUGAUGCAGCACGAUCACAGAUUUGAGGCCAGUCUAGGCAACUUAGGGAGAUCCUAUCUCAAAAAAGCACUGGGAUGUAGCUCAGUACUCCUGUUUUCAAUCCCCCAGUACUGGGGUGGGGGUGGGGAGGUACUGAAGGGGCAAAGGUGAUUGAGGGUAUAAUUCACUAGUAGAGUGCUUGCCUGACAUGCAGGACACUGUGGGUUCCAUUCCCAAAAUCACAAAAACAGAAAGGGUAGCCUGGAAUGAGUUCCCUAGGGUCAGACAAGUAUAAUUACUGUCCCCAUUUUGCAAGUGGAUAUCAAAGAGGUUAAACAACUUGGUCAAAGGCUU